AUGGAGCUCAGUGCUGGGGUCCUGUCUCCCUGUAUUGGUGCAGCCUUGCCCUGGGCCGUGUCCUGGACCAGCAGCUUCCACCCUGGGCAAUCAGAGAACCAUGGGAACAUUAAGGUUGCAGAGAAAAAAACCUCUCUGCAUCCCAGCAAACGCCACCGUGCCCACAUCCCUCAGUGCCACAUCCCUGCAGCUCUGGAACACCUCCAGAGAUGGUGAUCCCACUGCUCCCUGGGCAGCUGUGCCAGUGCAGCACUGCUCUUAUGAGCCUGAAAUUGUUCCUAAUACCUAACCUGAGAUGCAGGGGUUGAUGCCAGCUGCUGUUGGCUUUUUGGCUUUGCUUACAGUUGUCCCAGCGCAGCUGCACCUCUCCUUCAAACCCACUGUGAUGUACAGCAGGCACCACGGGUGGGACAUCAAACCCCACCAAGGCCUACUGGGAGCUGCAGGUGUGAGAAAAGGGGAGCUGCGUGGGAGCUGCUGCUUCUGCUGGUUUGGCUCAGCUCUGUCCUGAAUGGUGCAUGGAUUUCCAAGAAGAACACGGCCAACUGCAGAACCUGGAGCUGGCUGGCGGUGGAACCAGCGGAUCUCAUACACGUGGGCUGCCGGAUGAGAGGCAGAGGAAUGGCCACACUGAUCCCAUACCAUGAAAGGAUGGCUGCUCGCCUUCAGCGAUGUCAGGAAAUGCUGAGGAACCAGAAAAUGAGCAUGAGAUGCUCCCAGCUGCUCAGUUCCUGCUCUCCCUGUUCAGCUCUUCCACCCGACCGAUUCACGUGCCUCCAGAAUUGAACCUUGAACACCGUUUCCACCCCUCUGUGCAUGUGAAACAGCAAUCUGGAAAACACAUUGGUGUUUUAAUAGCGUUUCUGGGUAACCCUCUUGUACCGUAGGUAUAGCCAAAACAAGGAGAAAACCCCUCAGGGCUGCGAAACCUAAGGACAAAUGCCGAUGGGGAGGCUUCUGCUGACCUCGCUGGGAGCUGGACCGAUGCCUGGUGGCAGACAAAGGCUGUGUGAGUGGGGUGUGCUCACCCCAGCCCUGUUCUUCCUAUGGUGUUGGGGCCCAGGGUAUGUAUUUCCCCCCCUGGCAAUGGGCAGACUUGGAUGGGUUGGACGUUGCGCAGCUCUCUCCCUUCUCUGGUUUCAGCUCGGUUGUUAAACCCAGUAAUAUGCGCAAUAAUCUGCCUGUCUGGGAUUAAUAUAACGUUAUAUGUUUCUUGAAAGCCUUUCUGAUCCCGCAGUUAAUUUAAUCUUUUAUUAACAUUAACGAGCUCAUGUGGUGUCCAGCAAGCCUGGGGAGAAUGCUUUCCAAUACCAACAGAUGACAAAGAGAUGAAAAUAUAAUAGCAGAUGAAUUCCUCCUUCACCGCAAAGGCAGCGAGGAGGGCAGAGCAGAGCCUCCUGCUCAGCAGAGCACGUACUGCUCGCUAACGUGAGCUGCCAGGAAGCAGUGCUCGUUGUUGAGGCUUUGAAAUGGCAAAGGGAGAGAUUACUGAGAGGCGUAUCUCUGGCCGAGGAGCAGUGCGCACUUAGCAGCUAUCAGCGCCCAAGUGCCAAAAGGAAAACGUUAACCUCCCUGGUGCCAAAGAGGCUCUGUGGAUCCAUUCUUUGGCCUCAGUGCAACGUUAUAAAACAGAAAUAAUGGCAGUCU
This 1647-nucleotide long non-coding RNA is filed under the name Phasianus colchicus (ring-necked pheasant). RNAcentral describes it as "lncRNA (ENSPCLG00000005411.1)". The record is from RNAcentral. Lineage: Eukaryota; Metazoa; Chordata; Aves; Galliformes; Phasianidae.